This 29-nucleotide non-coding RNA is filed under the name Homo sapiens (human). The record is from RNAcentral. Lineage: Eukaryota; Metazoa; Chordata; Mammalia; Primates; Hominidae.
GAAAGGUGUUUUGGGGAAGCCAUCUCUGC